AUGUUUAUCAACUUUGCAGUCGGUAUUAACUCCAAAAAUGAUGAUUCCAUUUCCAUCUGGUUUAAUAGACACUCCACCUCAAAUGACAUACAUCAUCAAAUGAAGCAGCUGACCACAUCAUGGUAUCACCAUUUAUUUAGUAGGUUUGCAAUUGAACUUGAGGAGCAUCACCUUAGAAAUGUGAACGGAACCAGAUACAUUCCAACCCAAAACAGAAGGGAAGGGAUACAGGACGCUUGGUUAACAGAACAUGUUGCAGGUAUGUCGGGGUGUUAACGGAGGUACAAGAGGGAAAAAAUAGAAGGUGCAAAAGGGUGAGGUCCUGGGAACAGAAGAGGGGAUGGGGGAGCAGUUUGCUACAAGUAGCGAUCACAAAACGAAGGCCAUUGGAAUAUGUUCUGGCCAUGACUUUAUAGAAAAACCCUAGGGAGGAGCUUUUAGGAGAAUGGCUUCCCUACUGAGGAAGAGAGACAGAAGGGCAUCUAAAAGUAAAAUCAUGAUGUGGAAACAGCUCAUCAGAGAUCUAUGUAAACCUUUGGCAGAUUGCCCAGGUGGCCACUGCCCUCAUAUCUCUCCUUGUGGGAUUUUCUGUGGAAUGUCCCUCCAGUUCUGUCUGUUAAAAUUCUACCCAGCUUGCCCCCACUGAUGAAUGUGUGUGUGUGUGUGUGUGUCUUUUUAGGACCCCACCCGCAGCAUAUGGAGGUUCCGAGGCUAGGGGUUGAAUCAGAGCUACAGCUGCCAGCUACACCACAGCCACAGCAACACUAGAUCCGAGCUUCGUCUGUGAUCUACACCACAGCUCACAGAAAUACCAGAUCCUUAAGCAACUGGGCGAGGCCAAGGAUUGAACCCAUAUCCUCAUGGAUACUAGCUGGGUUCGUUAACCACUGGGCCACAAUGGGAACUCCUCAAUGCUUCUUUUUUUAAAGGAUAUUAAAAUAGCUUGCCAUUCAGAGAAUGCUGUGAAUACCAAGUUUUGGAAGAUGGAAGUAAGUGGCUUGGAUAUGUGCACCUGGAGAGAGUUCACUGGAAUUCAACCCAUUGAGCUGCUGCUUCUCUGCCUUUAAGGGUCAAGUUCUAAGAGAGAGGAUUGGAGCUGUCCAGCUCAUGUUCUCCCCACUUCCCCCCAACCCCCACUACCCCUGCAGCAUGUGGAAGUUCCCAGGGCAGGGAUCGAACCCACACCACAGCAGUAACCAUAGCCGCAGAAGUGACAAUGCCAGUUACUUAACCUGCUGACCCACCAGGGAACUCUAGGCAUUGGCUAGCUUGGAUUAGAUAUUCUCCCUUUUCAGAUAACCACAGGCUAAGAAGGUAGCACUAAAAAUUGUGAGCUGUGCUGCCUCCCCUUGUAGGGUCUAUGACAAGUAACCCUGGAUCUACUUCUCCCAGAUAAAAUAAAAGGAAUCAACUAUAUCUGUUUCA
This 1425-nucleotide long non-coding RNA is filed under the name Sus scrofa (pig). Its description in RNAcentral is "lncRNA (ENSSSCG00065052037.1)". The record is from RNAcentral. Lineage: Eukaryota; Metazoa; Chordata; Mammalia; Artiodactyla; Suidae.